GGAUUAGUGGCGAACGGGUGAGUAACACGUGAGUAACCUGCCCUUGACUCUGGGAUAAGCCUGGGAAACUGGGUCUAAUACCGGAUAUGACUGACCGUCGCAUGGUGGUUGGUGGAAAGCUUUUGUGGUUUUGGAUGGACUCGCGGCCUAUCAGCUUGUUGGUGGGGUAAUGGCCUACCAAGGCGACGACGGGUAGCCGGCCUGAGAGGGUGACCGGCCACACUGGGACUGAGACACGGCCCAGACUCCUACGGGAGGCAGCAGUGGGGAAUAUUGCACAAUGGGCGCAAGCCUGAUGCAGCGACGCCGCGUGAGGGAUGACGGCCUUCGGGUUGUAAACCUCUUUCAGUAGGGAAGAAGCUUUCGGGUGACGGUACCUGCAGAAGAAGCGCCGGGCUAACUACGUGCCAGCAGCCGCGGUAAUACGUAGGGCGCAAGCGUUAUCCGGGAAUUAUUGGGCGUAAAGAGCUCGUAGGCGGUUUGUCGCGUCUGCCGUGAAAGUCCGGGGCUCAACUCCGGAUCUGCGGUGGGUACGGGCAGACUAGAGUGAUGUAGGGGAGACUGGAAUUCCUGGUGUAGCGGUGAAAUGCGCAGAUAUCAGGAGGAACACCGAUGGCGAAGGCAGGUCUCUGGGCAUUAACUGACGCUGAGGAGCGAAAGCAUGNGGAGCGAACAGGAUUAGAUACCCUGGUAGUCCAUGCCGUAAACGUUGGGCACUAGGUGUGGGGGACAUUCCACGUUUUCCGCGCCGUAGCUAACGCAUUAAGUGCCCCGCCUGGGGAGUACGGCCGCAAGGCUAAAACUCAAAGGAAUUGACGGGGGCCCGCACAAGCGGCGGAGCAUGCGGAUUAAUUCGAUGCAACGCGAAGAACCUUACCAAGGCUUGACAUGAACCAGACCGGGCUGGAAACAGUUCUUCCCUUUUGGGGUUGGUUUACAGGUGGUGCAUGGUUGUCGUCAGCUCGUGUCGUGAGAUGUUGGGUUAAGUCCCGCAACGAGCGCAACCCUCGUUCCAUGUUGCCAGCGGGUAGUGCCGGGGACUCAUGGGAGACUGCCGGGGUCAACUCGGAGGAAGGUGGGGACGACGUCAAAUCAUCAUGCCCCUUAUGUCUUGGGCUUCACGCAUGCUACAAUGGCCGGUACAAAGGGUUGCGAUACUGUGAGGUGGAGCUAAUCCCAAAAAGCCGGUCUCAGUUCGGAUUGGGGUCUGCAACUCGACCCCAUGAAGUCGGAGUCGCUAGUAAUCGCAGAUCAGCAACGCUGCGGUGAAUACGUUCCCGGGCCUUGUACACACCGCCCGUCAAGUCACGAAAGUUGGUAACACCCGAAGCCGGUGGC
Molecule: ribosomal RNA, 1338 nt
Filed under: Arthrobacter liuii
Lineage: Bacteria; Bacillati; Actinomycetota; Actinomycetes; Micrococcales; Micrococcaceae
Description: bacterial SSU rRNA
Rfam family: Bacterial small subunit ribosomal RNA
Source: RNAcentral